This 1162-nucleotide long non-coding RNA is filed under the name Lathyrus oleraceus (garden pea). RNAcentral's name for it is "Pisum sativum (pea) long non-coding RNA (PSAT_LNC001019)". Lineage: Eukaryota; Viridiplantae; Streptophyta; Magnoliopsida; Fabales; Fabaceae. The record is from RNAcentral.
AAAUCAUAUAUCCAUUCAUUUCUAACUUCAUAAACAAAAAUAUUCAACAAUUAGUUUACAUUACAAUACUUUCCAACAUUUACAUUCAUUUUCAUAUUAAUUACAAACCUAAAUCGAGUUCAACUUUCAAUCACCCUACAUCAUUUCUAAUUUAUCCAAAUACAUUACAACAAUAUCAAGAUAAAUCAAGGCUACAAGAUUACAAAUAAGGUUGUCAACCUAAGUUUCGUGUCCAACCACCAUCACCACGUGUUCAUCACCUACAAAAUUCAAUACGAAACAUAAGCAUUGCAGCAUGUCAUGGAGCAAAGGCCACACCACAAAAGCAACCAGAGGUGUGCAUCACCUGCCAUGUACACGAAUGAGACCGAGUUCAUAAUAGACUAAACCCAUUCUACGUCAUAAUAUUGCAGCACCCCAAUGCUGGAAACAUGGCCAAGACCCUAUUGUAAUGCAGCCUAACCAAGGACCACAUGAACCCUGCAAAAUCACAAGUCAACAAUGCAUAACGUCUCCAAUAGGAGGAUUCUGCAACAUCUCGCAGAAUUGUCGCGACCCUGAAACCCACACCCGAACCGGCAGCAGGACCAAAACAAAAACCUAACAGCUUCACACCAAUGGAACUCGCACCAACCUCCAAUAGAACCUAACUAACCUGCAAAAAAGGGAAAAGAAAUAGCAGUUAAAGUUUUAACUAAUAAUACUUAUCAAGGCAAAAGAGAAUUUUCUAAUGAGUCUUCUAUCAAGAAUACAUCACAAAAAACGAGUGCAGCUUCUUGGUUAUUACCGUGAAGAAGGAAACGGUAACUCAUAACUAAGAUGAAGCCAAAAGGUUCACAUUUAAUUUGAUGGCAGAGCACAUUAUGAGUUUGCAACCUGGGGAAAUAGAGACAGAGAGAUUAAAGAAAAAGUAUGUUACUUUCAUGAAAGGUGUUGUAUCAGCACCAUUGAAUUUUCCCGGAACUGCAUACUGGAAAGCAUACCGGAAAGCACCAUUAAAGGUAUAUCAUUCAUAACCCACUCUAGCUCGACACCUACCCCAAUUAUUAACAUAAUUCGCAUUGCACGUUCAACCGUUCAAUUAGCCAUGUCAUAGAAAUUUCCUAUCCAACCCUGCCCACGAACUUAACAACCAUCCAAAAGAACCGACUUUGAGUCUUCC